CGGGCGAGCGAGAGGGCGAGAGGCCCAUCCGCGCAACGAAAGCGAAUGGCGGGACGCUCUCCCGCAGGGGGGCGGCGCCGCCGGCCGGACGUCCUCGAGGCGGACCGAGCCGGAGCGCUCGCGUCGGGACCCGAAAGGUGGUGAUCUAUCCGUGCGCGCGGCGAAGCCGGGGGAAACCCCGGUGGAGGCCCGUCGACGGUACUGACGUGCAAAUCGUUCGUCCGACGUGCGAAUAGGGGCGAAAGCCAAUCGAACCUCCUAGUAGCUGGUUUCCGCCGAAAUUUCCCUCAGGAUAGCGGCCAUCGCGGAAACGUUUUGACCGGUAGAGCGAACGACUAGAGGUACCGGGGCCGUAACGGCCUCGACCUAUUCUCGAACUCCGAACGGGCAAGGAGCCGGGGUCGCCCGAUCGGACCCCGGACGUGAAGUCGACGAUGGUCGGUGGGCUGG
RNAcentral lists this ribosomal RNA (450 nucleotides) under uncultured eukaryote. RNAcentral's name for it is "eukaryotic LSU rRNA". It matches the Rfam family "Eukaryotic large subunit ribosomal RNA", at positions 683 to 1134 of the family's 3401-position model. The record is from RNAcentral.